UCGAGAAUUUUUCUCAAUGGGGGCAACCCUGAAGGAGCGACGCCGCGUGGAGGAUGAAGGCUUUCGGGUUGUAAACUCCUGUCAUUAGGGAACAACUGUCGCCGAUUAACUGUCGGCGGCUUGAUAGUACCUGAAGAGGAAGAGACGGCUAACUCUGUGCCAGCAGCCGCGGUAAUACAGAGGUCUCAAGCGUUGUUCGGAUUCAUUGGGCGUAAAGGGUGCGUAGGUGGUGCCGUAAGUUGGAUGUGAAAUCUCGGGGCUUAACCCCGAAACUGCAUUCAAUACUGCGGUGCUCGAGUACUGGAGAGGAGACUGGAAUUCACGGUGUAGCAGUGAAAUGCGUAGAUAUCGUGAGGAAGGCCAGUGGCGAAGGCGGGUCUCUGGACAGUUACUGACACUGAGGCACGAAGGCCAGGGGAGCAAACGG
Molecule: ribosomal RNA, 427 nt
Filed under: uncultured bacterium
Lineage: Bacteria
Description: bacterial SSU rRNA
Rfam family: Bacterial small subunit ribosomal RNA
Source: RNAcentral